RNAcentral lists this long non-coding RNA (420 nucleotides) under Ictidomys tridecemlineatus (thirteen-lined ground squirrel). RNAcentral describes it as "lncRNA (ENSSTOG00000033126.1)". The record is from RNAcentral. Lineage: Eukaryota; Metazoa; Chordata; Mammalia; Rodentia; Sciuridae.
CCUCUCCAAUCUGUGUUCCCCAGCACUACCUGCUUAAUCCCUGGAUCAGGAGCUGAUCACGGUGGGGAGCAGGAGUGGAUAUUUAAAUAGAAGUCAGACUGUGCUUCGCUGCCAACCAAAGAACCCUGUUGAUACCAAAGGCUUCGAGGAUGGUGUAGGCCCAGAUUGCCAUCACACCAAAGAGGAUGCCUACAAAAUAUUCCAGUAAGAUGGAACGGACAUAAGGAUAUUGACAUAAGGACCGUCUGUGUCGGGAGCCCAGAGGGUGGACACAGGCCCCUGGACAAGUGAGUGGCACAAUCUGCCUCAGAAGGACGGGGGUAGCUGCUUUCCUGUCUCCCAACCCUGAGGUGCUCAUCCCAUGGGGAUCUUGAUUCCGCUGAGAGGUCUCAGUAGAUCCACCCCAGGGCCCAGGAUGCA